CCGCCGCGAUCCCUGCGCACCACGGCCCUGCCCGCCACGGGGCGAGCCCGAUAAGAGGGCUGUGGACGUUCGGGUCUAGUUGGGAGAGACAGGGGUCCCUGACUCUUGAGCGGUCAGUCAUUUCCUCCCCAGUCCUUGUGGGUGACGUGGCUACGGUUUGGAGCAGCAAGCCCCCUCCCCGAACUAAAGGGCCUCUCCAAAGGUUAAGCCAGGGCAGUCAUUGAGGUCAAAACCAAUAUGUAGUUUCUUGACUGCAGGUGCCUGCACGACUCCCAGAAAGUCGCGUCUCCCCUAACCCCCAUGCCCAGGACCUGAGGACAAAGGUCUAGCGAUUGUCCAUCCCCUCCCCCAGUGAGGACAGCCGGGAAAGACCUGCCUUUGUUGUGUACAGGUGGUAUCUCACUGUGUUAUCCAGACUGGACUCAAAUUUCUGGGCUCCAAUGGUCCUCUCACCUCAGCCUCCCAAGUAGUCAGGACUACAGAAUGAAGAUCCCCUACAUGUCUUACCAGGGGAUAGGUGGGUGUUAGGAUGGAAAAGGGAGAGAGGAUCAACAAGGAAGAAGCCAGAUGAGAGCGGGAAGGGCCUCCAGGGUGCCCAUCCAAAGUGAACUCUGGAUUGGUCAGCAUCAAAAUGGGAGAAGUGAAACAUCUUUCCACCACCCCCAGGACUCGGUGUGUUUGCAUGACUGAUGAGUUGACUCCCUCUGGCUGUGAGCAGUACCUCCAGGUCCUUUCAGGGAAAUGGGCUCAAUUCACACAAAAGAAAGUAAAGCCUAUAAAUCAAGUCAAAAGAUAGAGCUCUUUAAAAAUUUAUUUACUGG
RNAcentral lists this long non-coding RNA (821 nucleotides) under Homo sapiens (human). RNAcentral's name for it is "HSALNT0334029". Lineage: Eukaryota; Metazoa; Chordata; Mammalia; Primates; Hominidae. The record is from RNAcentral.